Molecule: ribosomal RNA, 240 nt
Filed under: uncultured bacterium
Lineage: Bacteria
Description: partial 16S ribosomal RNA
Rfam family: Bacterial small subunit ribosomal RNA
Source: RNAcentral
UGGCGAACGGGUGAGUAACGCGUGAGGAGCCUGCCUCAAAGAGGGGGACAACAGUUGGAAACGACUGCUAAUACCGCAUAAGCCCACGACCCGGCAUCGGGAAGAGGGAAAAGGAGCAAUCCGCUUUGAGAUGGCCUCGCGUCCGAUUAGCUAGUUGGUGAGGUAACGGCCCACCAAGGCGACGAUCGGUAGCCGGACUGAGAGGUUGAACGGCCACAUUGGGACUGAGACACGGCCCAG